GCACCCGUAGCUCAGUGGAUAGAGCACCGGACUUCUAAUCCGAUGGCCGCAGGUUCGAAUCCUGCCGGGUGCG
This is a transfer RNA of Nocardiopsis flavescens, 73 nucleotides long. It matches the Rfam family "tRNA". Rfam says of the family: Transfer RNA (tRNA) molecules are approximately 80 nucleotides in length. Their secondary structure includes four short double-helical elements and three loops (D, anti-codon, and T loops). The record is from Rfam. Lineage: Bacteria; Bacillati; Actinomycetota; Actinomycetes; Streptosporangiales; Nocardiopsidaceae.